Molecule: long non-coding RNA, 384 nt
Organism: Amphibalanus amphitrite
Lineage: Eukaryota; Metazoa; Arthropoda; Thecostraca; Balanomorpha; Balanidae
Exons: 3
Source: RefSeq, a predicted model, not a curated record
GGGCAUGCAGGUAGAUGGUUUGGGGCAAGUUGGGGGGGGGGGGGAUGCGGGGCAUUGUAUUGAUUAAGAUGCAAAAUAUGGAUUCUUCAGAUACCGUACGUCAGAUAGGUAUAUAGGGCCUUGGUCAGAUAAUAUUGCACCAAUUGUACCUACUUUCAAGGGCUGGGUCCUGGGACGCUGGGUGAUGUCUGCCAAUGAUCAGAUGGAGACGUUACCAGAGCCUUCACUGCAAAAGAGGAUUAUUGUCCACCCAGCUUUCUGCAGCGUGUCUUCGUCUUGAGUGCGGACAUUGGGAGGCGAUCUGUUCUUGGCGGCCCAACACUGGGAAGGUGUCCAGGAUAGUGUCCCGGACAGCCUGGGAGAGCGCCAUGCCACCAGCCCAUG